CAAUAUAGUAAAAUGGUCUACUUUUGACGGACGGAGGGAGUAUCAAUUAUGACCCUUCUUCAUAUUUGCCAUAAACUCCGCCAUCAUAUUCUUGAGAUCAUUAAUGGUGCCAUCUUGCUCCAGCAGACGUGCCUCGAAGUCGUUCCCUCUAGUAGUCUGAGCAUUCACUUCAGCUCUUAGCGCCUCGACCUCCUCAAGAGAAGCAGCAGGGGCAGUCUGAGACGUGCUAGUGGACUGAGUACUAGAUCCAGUAGACACCAUCUGUGUCAUCAUUCCCAUCCCGAGCACACGGCCUUUCGUGUCCCUCUUCACCACCUCCUUAAAGAUGGCGUGUACCUCUUCUGGUGUCGGAUCCCUACCUUGAGUGGCUUGAAUAUCUUGAAUGCCAUCUCUAAACUCAUUUCUAAACGUCCUGAAAUAGAAUUAUAACUAGAAUUAAUUUUAUAUUGUAGUUGAUGGUUGAAUGUUUGUCAUUAAUUUUUUUAGUUCUUAAGUUUUAGUCACAAUAGUUAUUAAAAACCAGGGCAGUAGCCAUUGCUACCACCUCCGCCUCUCCCCCACCGGCGGCCCAAACUCCAAAAUAGAAAAUCGCCUCUUCCCCACCGGCGACACAAGCAUACUAAUAUUAAAAUUAAAUCAUGCUCAACGCACAUAAUCAUGCUUAUUCAAAUUCAAUCAAACAUGUUAUUCGCCUCUCCCCCACCGGCGACAUAAUUAACAAAAAUAAAAUCAAUUGCAAUAACUUAAUGUGACUAGGUACGACUAAUCUAAUCAAUCUAAGUAACCUAAUAUUUAAAAGGCCAUAGCUUGUGUGAAUCACUUAAUGUCAUGACUAGAUACAACUAAUCUAAUCAAUCUAAGUAACCUAGUAUUUAAAAGGCCAUAACUUAGCUAGAUUAAGUCAUGUAACCUAACACAUAAAUUAAGUAAAUUACGCAUGUAUUCAUACAAUAAUCCUAAAACCUAACACAUAAAUUAAGUAAGUUUAUAAAAGACUAACCUUUUAGAAAAUCUUGACAAAAGCUCACGAGAUGUCUGUAUUGAAGCUCACCCAACAAUCUUGCAAAAGCUACAAUUUUAUACAAAUACAUUCAAGUUAGCUCAAGUUCACUAUCAAAAGCAAAGAAGACUAAUAAUGGGUACGAAUCAAACAAGUGAAUGAGUACAAUAUGUUAUAAUAUUUGUUGCAAUGACUUCAUUCCCUACCUUAAAUAUUCUGAAUUUCUCAAUCUAUAUCUUCACUAAAAAGUCAAACGUAGUGAGCUGCUCCAAAUCUCUGAAGUGAGCACUCAGCUGUUUCGAGACCUGCCCAAACAUAAUUCAACAUUCAUGCAUGAGUCCACUAAUUUGAAAACAAAUAAUCUACAGCUAAGAGAUGAAAGUUACUAGUCGUCAAAAAUACUAUUAUAUCUAUCAUAAUAUUAGUAACUUGAAAUCACUCUUAAUCAGCUCAAUAAUACUUCUUACUAUGAAUAUAUCAAAGAGUUAAGAGUAUUUGAUAAUGCAUUAAUACUAUAAUUUAUCAAAGAAAAUUUUAUUUCAGCACAUGAAGGGCAACCAAAUAUGGAAUAUGCUUCUUUUAUUUGCUUAUUAAAGUAUCAGGAAUCAAAUAAAAGAACUGUAGGCGUAGCAUCUGAUUAACAAAAUGCAAUUCUAAUUAAAGAUGGCACCAUUUUCAAAUCUACCAAGCACAAGAAGUGAUCCUAGACUCUCCCAAAACUCCUCUAACUCAGAGGGUCAUAAUACAUUAUUCUCUUCCCCCCCCCCCCUCUCUUUUUUCAAUUUUCAAGAAUUAGAAAAACAGAGACCAUAUGAGUGUUUCAUGCACCACUCGCCAUCUCUAUUCUGAUUGUUUCAGAGCAUCAACAAAUGCAUCCUUUAGAAAACCAUUUGAAGCUGCUACGCGUUGAGCGGUGAUAUCAAAUUCGUUCCCCGAGCUGUUACACGAAAAUAUAUCAUGAUCUGCUGAUGAAUUGCAGCAUAAAUCAUUAUCACCACUAAUACAAAAACAAACAGCUUGACUUUUGCUUGUCUGCGCGUUUUGUAAUGAACUACGUCAAGCAAGGUACCUCAACAGUCAACAACUUUAGAGACAGCAUGUUGCUUUCUAGCCCAUUGAAAGAUUAUACAAGAUGAAAUUGGAGAAAGUGGGACGACAGUCAACAACUAGUUUUCAUCUAGUUCACAAAUGUGUCAACUAGCCAACAAACACUUAAGGCUCACUGUGAACUCAUGUGAAAUCACAAGUAAACUCAUGAGUCAUGGCCAAGGGGGGGGCAGUGGGGUCACUGGACCCCCCUGGAAUUUGGAAAUUUUGCAGGGGUAUUUUAGUAAUUUCAUAUAUAGUAAUAAAAAAAUAUACAAAAAAUAUUAUAGGGUUGAAUUUCGUAUCUCUCAACGACUCAGCCUAACUUCAGAAUUUUUUCCACAUUCCAAUUGGGCGCCGCUGCUCUUUCCGCUGUGAAUCGCCGGCAUUCUCAAGCUGUGCCCCGCCGCUUUCCGGCUUCUCUACCAGCUACCGUUGUCGACGCCGUCGCCGACUAUCUACCUUCAGCUGUGCGCCGCUGACUGAUCUCCUGCUGCAAGCUGCAGCCUGCAACGGUCUACGGCAGUGCGAGGUAAAUUUUAUAGAAGCUAUCAGCUAUGUUUUCCAUUCCAAUUGGAGACUUUAAUAUUUGGAAAUAGGAAUAGCUAUGUUUUCAAAGAAGUUGGGUGUUUUAAUUUAAUUUUCUAUGUUUAUUCCUUGAUUGUAAUGGGAGUUUGCUGUCCUUUGAAUUGAACGAACACGUCGAUUUUGAAGAUAGAGUUUUUAUUGUUUAAAAAAAUGGAUAUUGAUUGAGAUUGUGGUAGAUGCACCGAAUGGGUACUUGAUACUUUAUGUUGAUAUCUUUUAAUUUGGCAAGUCAGUGGGUGGAUAGCUUUAAUUUAUGUGUAGUGGAUUAUGGAUAGAUUUUAAUAUUUUGACAAGUGAUAUUUCUUAUGUCAGUGUGCUUUCAUUUUAAUUUUGCUCAAGACUAUCGAAUUUUUACCUUUUUUUGUAUUGUAUUUCUUAUGCACAGGAGGUAGCUAAAAAUGAAGCGAUAUUAUAAUCACUUACUUGCUACAAGUGUGGAUGGUUCAUCUUCAACAAUUAAUAGUCCUACUGCACGUGUUGAACCUGAAGCAACACCAGGAGAAGUGAAUAUGGAAGUUGCUCUUCACCUUGAACCAUCAUCAAAAGUGGUUGAUUUAUUAAAUCUUCCAAGUGAUCCGGGACUACGACCUAGUAUAAUGAGCUAUCCUCCAAACUUAAUUGAACAGGUGCGUAGAGCUUACUUAUUAAAAGGCCCAUGUCAACCGCGUAAUCAUGAUUUUUCCACAGAAGAUAGAGGCAAAUAGAAAGCGGAAAUUUGUUUCAGCUUGGUUUGAUGAAUUCAAGAUGUGGUUGGAAUAUAGUAUUGCAAAAGAUGCUGCUUUUUGCUUAUAUUGUUAUCUGUUUUCGUCGGGAAGUAGUGAAAAAGGACAUGAUGCUUUUAUUUCUGGAGGGUUUAAUACUUGGCGCAAGAAAGAUAGAUUGAGAGAUCAUGUUGGAGAGGUUAAUAGUGAUCAUAAUAAAUGUAGAUUGGCAUGUCAAGAUUUGAUGAAUCAAGCCCAACACAUUGAGGUGACACUUUCUAGAGUAUCAAAACAGUCACAAAUUGAUUAUCGUUCUAGAUUAGAUACAUCAAUAAAAAUGUCUCCGCUAUCUUCUUAUGCAAGGAAUGGCUUUUCGAGGACAUGAUGAGUCAGAAGAAUCCUUGAACCAAGGAAAUUUUAUGGAGCUUUUGAAACUUUUGGCUUCUUGUAGCAAAGAGAUAUCUAAUGUAGUAUUGAAGAAUGCUCCUGAAAACUUGAAACUUACAUCACCUGACAUUCAGAAAGAUAUCAUAAAUGCAAUUGCAGUUGAGACUACUAGAGCUAUCAUUGAUGAUAUUGGUAAUGAUUUUUUUGCCAUAUUAGUUGAUGAAUGUCGGGAGUGUGUCUGUGAAAGAGCAAAUGGGUAUUGUUCUAACAAUUGUUGCUGUUGCAAAAAAACAUAUCAUUGUUGGGUCUUUCUUUAAUACUAUCUCGCGCUUAUGCAAUGUGGUUGGAGGUUCAUGUAAGCGCAGGGAUAUGCUUCGAGAGAGCCAAAGAGAGAAGAUUAUUGAAGGCAUUGCAAGUGAUGAAAUUAAGACAGGAAGGGGGUUGAAUCAAGAAAUGGGGAUGAAACGACCCGGGGAUACUCGUUGGAGUUCUCAUUACGGUACUCUCAUCAACUUGAUUCACUUAUUUACUUCUAUUGUUGAUGUUCUUGAGUAUGUUGGGGCAAAUGGUAGUGAUGAUUCACAAAAAUCUGAAGCUAUGGAUUUGUUAGAUGUUAUUAGUCGAUUUGAGUUUGUCUUUGUGUUACAUCUGAUGAAGAAAAUUUUGGGAAUUACACAUGAUCUCUCUCAAGUGCUACAAAGGAAAGAACAAGAUAUUGUGAAUGCAAUGAAACUUGUUAAUGUAGCAAAAACUCGCUUGCAAGCAAUGAGAGAGAAAGAAUGGGAGAUGAUGUUAGCUGACAUUUCUAAGUUUUGUAGUAGAAAUGAGAUAGAAAUGCUAGAUAUGGAUGGUGAAUAUGCACCUCGAGGAAGAGGAAGGCGUAGAGUUGAGAAAAUGACAAAUCUCCACCAUUAUCGAGUUGAGCUAUUUUACACUGUGAUUGAUAUGCAAGCUUUAGAGUUGAAUCAACGUUUUGAUGAAGUCAACACAGAAUUGAUUUUAUGCAUGUCAUGCUUGGAUCCUAGAGACUCAUUUUCUGGAUUUGAUAUUGAAAAGCUACUUCGUCUUGCAAAGUUUUAUCCAUCUGAAUUUUCUGAAGUUGCUUUGUAUGAACUUGAAAGUCAGCUUGAGAACUUUAUUGUUGAUGUGCGCAUGGAUGAAAAGUUCUUAGGAUUAUCAGGGAUUGGAGAUCUAGCCGAGAAGAUGGUUUCUACAAGGAAACAUGAUAUUUUUCCAUUGGUGUAUUUGUUAGUUAAGUUAUCAUUGACUUUACCAGUUGCCACUGCUACCGUUGAAAGAGCCUUUUCAGCAAUGAAGAUCAUCAAGAGUGUUCUUCGCAAUCGUAUGGGAGACAAUCUUUUGAACGAUUGCUUAGUACCUUAUAUCGAAAAGGAUGUGUUUGUAAAUGUUACUAAUGAAGCUAUUAUGCAAAGGUUUCAGAGCAUGAAAAAUAGGAGAGAAAUGUUGUUAGUUGAGAAAUAAAUUAUUUUUUACUUGUUAUGUAAUUUAAAUGACAUUAUAAUUAUGUUAAUGAUUAUUAUUUGUUUUUUAUUUAUUUUUUAUUAUUUAUUUAAUUAUUAAUUUUAUUUAAAAAAAAUUUGGACCCCCCUGAUUUCAAAGUCUAGCUCCGCCCCUGCUCAUGACUCAUAUGAUUAAGCAAUUAACUUAUAGAAGGAACAAGGAGCAGCCCAAUAAACAAGAAAAAUAUAUAGGGAAUGACUGCACUUCAAAAUGGCAGGGAGAAAGAGCGAGAGGGAGAGAGAACCGUGGUGAGCGAGAGGGAGAGAGAACCGAUGGUGAACGUCGAGGGAGGGAGAGGCAGCAAAUCGACUCCGGCAGGGGGCGAGCAGCGGCGGCGGAAUCCGGCAGCAAUUGAAUUUGGGUAAACUGACCUUAAUUUGGGGGAAUGGUGUAGGUCAAUUGAAUUUGGGGGAGAAGAUACUAUUCACUAUUCAGCAUUAAUAUUCUCG
This 5732-nucleotide long non-coding RNA is filed under the name Salvia miltiorrhiza (redroot sage). RNAcentral describes it as "long non-coding RNA (SMIL_LNC007159)". The record is from RNAcentral. Lineage: Eukaryota; Viridiplantae; Streptophyta; Magnoliopsida; Lamiales; Lamiaceae.